Molecule: long non-coding RNA, 8125 nt
Filed under: Nicotiana benthamiana
Lineage: Eukaryota; Viridiplantae; Streptophyta; Magnoliopsida; Solanales; Solanaceae
Description: long non-coding RNA (NBEN_LNC035194)
Source: RNAcentral
CCCAAGUAUAAAUAGUUGCGGAAGUAAGUAAAUAGCGUCUUUAUUUAUAUGCUAUUACCAAUACGGUUGCUAUUACUACAUAGAAUCCGGUGUCACAAUCCACGAACAAACAAUGAUAUUCUACAAGUAUCGGUCUGAAAGAAAUUACAACUGCCUUAGAAAUAGAGAAACUCCAAAAUGGAGAUGUAGAAGGGGAUGCCAGGGCCUACACACGCCAACAUGACUACCUUGGUUCUUCUAACUGUGUAAUCUGAAGCCAAUCUCUUAAUCAGCCACUACCAGCUCCAAAAUAUGCAUAGAAAGUGCAAAAUGCAGUAUCAGUACAACCGAACUCAUAUACUGGUAAGUGUCGAGCCUAACCUCGACGAGGUAAUGACGAGACUACGGUGGGGCAAUUACAAUAUAACCUGCAUACAGUGUAUAAUAAAAGCAAAAAAAAAAAGGACAUGAUUAAAUAAAGCAAAUAACUUGCAAGGAAUGAAUACAGAACUCAAAUGUCUUAUCAGUAUCAAUCUAUCACCAAUUCUUAUGUGAAAUGCAAAGGUCCCGUAUAACUACACAAUAGAAGAAAGUUACAUAAAUACAUAAAAUGAUGCAGUGAGCAUCCCGAUCCCACCAUGUAUUAAUUCAAUAGGAAUAUUCACAUUACACUAUAUCAAUCAACCCUUGUUCCUCUUGUUGCGGCGUGCAACCCGAUCUCACCAUAUAAUAGAAUUUCACCCUUAUUCCUCCUGAGUUGUAAAACUUGAUCAGUCGUUUUAAGCAUUUGUAUUUCACUCGGUUGUUUGAGGGCAUGUGUAGCCCCAUAUGAUAUAUUAUGACUUAUUUAAAUCGUCGAUUUUGAUUUUCAGGUUAAUCAAAAUAGAUAUGGAGGAAGGAUUCUCACCUUGAACUUUAAAUUUGGAAGAUUUGACCAAGGUUUCACUAUUGAGUAAUCGAUCCUGGAUUUGGAUAUUUAUGGUUAGGUUAGCUCUGUUAGGUGAUUUUGGACUUAGGAGCGUGUCCGAAAUGUAAUUUGGAGGUCUGUGGUAGAAUUACGCUCGAAUUGGCGAAAUUGGAAAUUUGGUGAUUUCUAGUCGACAAUGGAAAAUUUGAUAUCAGAGUUGAAAUAGAUUCUGAGAGUUAUAAUUGGUUUGUGGUGUCAUUUUUGACGUGUUUGAAAAAAUUGAUGUCAUUCGGACGAGGUUUGAUAGGUUUUAGCAUCAAUUGUGAAUGUUUGAUGUUUCAAGUCCAUUAAGGUUGAAUUGGUGUUCGAUUCAUGUUUUUGUUAUUGUUUUAUGUUAUUCGAGAGCUCGAUUGUGUUGGUAUGGUAUUUUAGGACUUGAUGGUAUCUUUGGUUGAGGUUUCGGAGGCCUCGGGUGUGUUUCAGGUGUGUUUUGAGAGAGUUCGGGCAUUACCAGAACUCAUGCAUGGUUUUGGUGCUUAAUUUUCACAGAUGAAGGCAAAAUUGCCGGGGGCGGAGGUGGGAGUGAGAACCUUGUAAAUUUGGCCGCGGAGCCACUCCAUGGAAGAUCUUAGAGAGUGCACUAUAUAAAUUCGGUUUAGGGCAUUAUUUCACAUUUUGGACCUAGGGAGCUUGGUUUGUGGCGCUAUUUUGAGGGUAUAUUAAGAAUUUCAUCGGGGUAAUGAUUCUUUCAGGGAAUUGGUUAAUGUUCAUGAAUAUAUCAAUGAUUUCAUCAUUUGAUUAGUACUUUAAGGCGAAAAUUUGGGGAAAAUUGUGGAAAUUUCAUAAAAUAAAUUUUUGAGAUUUAAAUGUCAAUUUGGAUUUGGAUUUGAGUGAAACUAGUAUGGUUAGUCUCGUAAUCGAAUGGUUUCUCAUAUUUUGUGACUUUGGUCAGAUUUUGGGAUUUGGGCCCGAGGCCCGACUUUUGAGUUGACUUUUUAACUUUUGGUCUUAAGCUAACCAUUUUCUUAUGGGAUUGAUUCCUUUAGCUCGUGUUGAUUGUAUCAAAUUGUUUAUGGUUAGAUUCGGAGCAUCCAGAGUUCGAUUUGGAAAGCAAAGGCAUAGCGGAGUAGGAGUUUUCUUGGUCGGAGAUAAGUAUAGCUUUCAAACUUUAUUCUGAGGGUUCGCAACCUCGAACUAUGUACCAUAUGAUGGUAUUGAGGUGACACACAUGCCAAGUGGUGGGCAUGUGGGCAUGCAUCGUGUGAAUUGUGACAUGGUUCAUUCCAUGGCACCGAUUACUAAUUAUAUAUUGUUGAUAUCUCUGUUUCUUCAUGUGAUGAAGUAAAUAGACUGUAAAUCAUGCUAGGGCUUUACACCGAUACUGUUGCGAUCCCUAGUGGUCGUUUCUUGCUGUCAUCUCACUGAUGUCAUUGAUUUUCUGUACUUACUCAUAUUCUUGUAUUUCAUAUCACAUCUCAGUCUCAGCUAUUUUUUAUUUGCACAUCAUAUCAUUGUUUCGGGCUAGUUUUUAUGGUAUUGUGAGCCUGCGGGGGAGAUUGGAUAGUGAUUCCUUAGUGAGGCUGAGAGCCUGAUGAUGAGUGACAGUUAUGGGUCGGGCUACAUGCCACAGUGAAUUAUUGAUAUAUGCCUUCAUUAGCUUGUGAUAGAACUUGGGCUGAAGGAGCCCCUCUAGAGUCUAUAACACACCCCCAAUAAGCGCGGUUGAUUAUAUUUACGGAUGGAUCUUCUCCAUAAAGUUGUAUUGGCAUGUUCUUCGGUACUGGAGAUUGAUGGUUUUUGAUGUAUAUAUAUUGUGGGAUGGAUAUUCCUUGGGCCUUGUGAGCCAUAUAUAAUACCGAGUGGUUGUGAGGUUGUAAUUAUUAUUAUCCUGAGAUGGAUCUUCCCCAUAAGCUGGAUUGGCCUUCCUCAGUACUGAAUGACUGCUGUCAGAGAUGUAUUUAUUCCGGGAUAGAUCUUUCCUGGAUCGUAUGAGCUAUGUACAGUACUGAGUGGACGAGCAUUUGAAACUAUGGGCACAUAACACUCAGCCUGGUGCAUUUCAUACAGCAUGUGCAUUGACAUGUAGAUGUAGCAGAGUUACACUUCUUUACCUUGUUCAUACCUGCUAUGUUUUACUGUUCGAGCUGUUUAUUUAACUGAAAUCAUGCCUACGUUUUUGUACAUUAUUUCUAUUAUUUUUUAUGAGGUUGAGUUUGUUACUACCUAUAAAUCUAUAGGUUGGACUUGCUACUUACUGAGUUGGUAUACUCGCGUUACCCCCUACACCUUGUAUGUAGAUCCAGGUACUUUCGGCCACAGAGGUAGUCAUUGAUCGAGGUUGCAAGCUUGGGAGAUUAUUGAGGUAUCUGCAAGGCCGUCGCAGAUCUUGACCCUCCAUCUCUAUUCUAGUAGUGUUUCAAUUGUAUUCAGUAAACAUUGUAGUAGACUAUGUUAUUUCUCUAGACGCUCAUAUACUCUGUGACACCCUGGUUUUGGGCUUGUUGAAUCGUGUUAUGGUUUUUGCUUAUGUUAUGAACAGUCUAUUUUCUUAAAUGAUAAAAGUACUAUUCGCAAAUAUUCCAAAUAUUAGUAUUGUGGUUGGUUUAUUUUUCAUUGAGUUGAGGCUAGCUUAGUUCCACGAUAGGCUCCAUUACGACGUGUUGGGGUUUGUGUCGUGACAAGUUGGUAUCAGAGCCUAGGUUACAUGGGUCUCACGGGUCAUUAUCGAGUUUAGUAGUCUUGCAGAUUGGUACAGAUACGUCUGUACUUAACUUUGAGCGGCUACAUAACCUUUAGGAAACUUCACAUUCUUGAUUUCUUAUCGUGCGACAUUGAUUCAGCUUGAAGUGUAACCCUUUGAAUUCCUUCCACGCAUUCGUAUAUGCACUUGAGCGCUCGGUAUCAACUGUGCAUCGACGGCUUGUGAGUUACAUAGUUGAGGUACGAGAUGUAAUUUUGGCAUGUCAAUGAUGGGCCUUUCUGGAGGACUUGAGGUCCGGUUUUGACUGUAGCUUGAGCACUAAGGUGUUGGUUGUGUGAGUAUGUUCUUUUAGAUUAAUAGGUCCUUAUUGGUGGAGUUUGUGGUUGGAUGGCUACGUGAUGGGUAUGAAUUGAUUGCUAGAUGUAUUUCGAUUGUUUGAAUGUGGAAAGAGAGUUUGUUAGGGAUGUAGCAAGGACUAUUGGGUGUUUGACUUCUGUCUUGAGUUGGCGAAGGACCUCUCAGGAAGAUUAAGUGAUUGCGUACUGUUUAUGACGGUAGAAGGGUAUAAAGAGAUGUUCGUUUGAGGCGAAGCAGGUGGCUUAUCUCCCACGGAGUGUUCUGAAGUUUGUGUGAUCCUUAUGUUGUGUUAGAAAUCCUCUUUUGCCAGUGAAAUAUACGUAUUGAAAUUUGAGUUUGGAUCGCUUAUGAGAGUGGGCUUGUCUGUUACGAGGAUGAAUGCAAGAUUUGCAAAUGAUUUGUAUUGUACGAGCUUAUGAAGGAUUUAGUUUAAUCUCACUAUGAUAUUAUGACAGUAAUAAAGUAUGGGCAUCAUGAGUUUCUAUCUGUUUUAAUCUAUGGCUUUGAGCAAUGUGGGGAAGUCUGCUACUAAUCAAUUGAUUGCAUAAUUAUGUCUUGUAUUGCUAGGUAUACUGGUUAAUCAGUUGUGGCUUAUAGAGGUUGAGGUGAAGGAUGACUCAAGUAAAGGAAAUUUUGGAUAAGGGUUUUGUUAUGCUUUAUGGGUAUAUGAAAAACAUUAAAUGAUUUAGUUAUUGUUUGAAUGGAUGUAACGUGUAUGGAGUAAGAAAUCCCUCGGCUAUUUAGAAGGAUGUGUUACUUCCUUAGGUGUUGUUGUACUAAUGGGGCACAAGUCGUUCGGUUCAUUUGAUCAGUUUAAUUAAAACUUGAGUAGAGUGGAUGACCCCCGAGAAUGGUUUUAAUGGAUUCAAGAUUAUAUGUAAUAAUUUGGGAUAUUUAAGAUGUGUAUUUGCAUCGAAUUUGAGGGUUACCUUGGAGGGUGUCAAGACUUGUGGCACUUCUAUAUCAUUAUUGAUUCUACAUAUCAGUAUUAGUAACGUGAAGGUAAUGGAUUUAGAUUUUGAGGAAGUCUUUUCAGGUUGCGUACUUUGAAUGUGGUACUUUUGGGGAUGUUUAAGAGGGUUUCAGUGGCUUAUGAGUCUUAGGGUGGUGUGGUUUAAUGCUUGGGUCCAGUGGGGUGAGUCUACGUUGAGGAUGUGGAUUUAUGUCAAGGAGAAGUACUAAUUUAUGUGGCUUGAUGAGGGUAUAUAUUUCAGAAAGGCAAUGUGUUUGAGUUAUCGAUGCUUUAUUAGUAUUGGCGCACUCUCUUGUUUGGUCAGCUACCGGAGUUCAAAUUUUGCAUUGUGGCACAGAAGAAUUUUAGAAGUAUUCCUCGUGGGGUGAUUAUGUAAUUUGAGGAGUGUGGGCAUCCAGGUGGUAGAGUUGAGAUCGAGCAUGGUGAUUCAUGCGGUUUAUGGAUUUGGGGACUAGGAGUUAUCACAAAUAGGUUAUGUCGUGGUUGUGAACUACAAAGAUGUGGGCAAAGCUAGUCAGAUGAUAGUAUGUGCCAUGAUGUAGUCAUUGUGAACUUUCGGAGAGUUAUUUAUCUAUUGUGGGUGACUAGAGUUGAUUUGGGUUUACUAGUAGGCUAAUAUGGAUGUGUGUUCUACAUCGAGCCGGAUUUGUCGACUCCAAAUUGCUAUUGUUGAGGGAUGUGUCAUUUGAUUGUUAUUGAGCUUAUUCGAGUUCUGGAGUGAUAUAUCAGUUGCAUUUCCAUGUUACGACGAGUUAUGAUUUGUCGGUUAUACGCACAUAGUGCGGUUCUAUUAGGGUCUUAUAGCAAAAUUUGAGCGGGAAGAGUAUUGGGUAUUACUCGAUGGAUGGUGUACUGGUUAUAUUCUUUCGGGUUUGUGUGGUGUUAUGUCAUCUGCUUCUCCAUGGUUAUGGUAAUGCACUCAGGGCUCUUGAUUGAAUUCCGAAUCGUAAGGGAUUUUGAGUAGGAUGGCUCGAGGUAUAUAAUGCAGACCAGCAUUUGGAUAGGGUCACGCAUUAUAGCGGAUUUAUAUGGAGGUAUGAUCCGUGUGUUCUGCUCUACGGUGUAUGAUGGGUUCUUAGCAUCGUAUAGAGGUGGUACUGGUGAGCUUGCGGUACAACGCUCUCAUUUGAGUCAUUUUUCAUGAUUCGAGUAUAUUUGGAUUGUUGCUUUGUGGCUUUAGAUGGUAUUGAUGUGUUGUCACACCCCUUUUUUUUACAAAGCCUCACUAACCCCUCUUAAAUAAAUUAAAAAAAAUUUAGUAAAAGCUUGAAAAGGAUUUUCCCAUUAGAACGUGACAAAAAUGGUAUUCAAAAGGAAAAUAACUCAGAGUUGCCACCUGAUAUUUGAUUUCAGUAUGCCAGGUUACCAUUUUAAAAAUGAUUUUUCCUUUUAAAAUGUUUCAGAUCUAAAGAAAAGUUCGCAGCAGAGAUUAGGGUAAAGGGGUUCAUUUGACUCGGGAAGAAGGUGUUAGGUAGUCCCCAAGUCCCGUAACUAGGACGGUUCCGUACUCAAUCUAGUUGACUCUAAAAAUAUUCAAGUUGAGGUGGAAAACACAGAAAAAGGAAAAUUAACACAUAAGAAGCUCGAGGUCGUCCCCAUCUAAAUAAAAGAAAAAGAAAAAUGAAAAUUAAAUACUACAAGUUUCUACUUUUGGCCUCCAUCUAGUGCCCUUAACAAAACAUAACAAAUUUGUAAAUUGGCAGAAGUGAACAACUAAUUUGCCAACAAAAUGAAAGCGAAACAAACACUAUUUAAAACUGAUGAAACCUUGACAGAUGCAUCAAGAAUGCUAACUCUAAAACAUGGAAUGGAAGUAUAUUUCUGGAUGAAGCUAAAUGCUAGGUCUUAAGUGAAAUUCACAUUGAAACAAAAGAAAACCAACAAUAGGCUAAACAUUUUUGCCAAGUUAACAUAUCAAAUACUAUAUUUUAAUUAGAUAGAACAGUAAUACUCCAAUAAAUUUACCAUAAUACUUUAAGCACUUAAAAGGUCUAAACACAAAGAUGUAAAAGGAAAACUACUCAAAAUAGUUCUUAUAACCUCGAGUAGACUGAUUUCUAUUAACACCCAAUUAAAAGCUAAAUAAACUUUUAAUUUCUCAAUCCCCUUUAACUAUGGCUCAAAUCAUAUUUGAAUCCAACCAAAACAAAAGUAAGAAGAGAUGGAACGGACCUCAAAUUUACCCUUGAUUAACAAAAAUUCUGGCAGUUACAAGGAAGUUAAUAAAUCGCAACAGGAAUCGAACUCAAAGCAACAACGAAAAUUGAUUGAAACCACGAACGAACCUCGAUCAGAAACUCGAAUCAGCACAAAAAUUUCGAAUCCAAACUCUAACUUCAAUCAAAUUCUGUCCUUGGAAAUGAAAAUUGAAAUCAGAAAGAAGAAGAAACACAUAUUGUUUUUUGUAUUUUUCUGAGAUUCAAACUAAACAAAAAUCUAAAAAAUGAAAUCAGAAGAUCAAAGGGCUAAACUAAAUUAGUUUUUGUUUUGUAUUUUUCUGGUUCCCAAGAAGACCAAAAAUCAAAUAAAAUUGGUGAUUUUUUUCGAACCUUAAUUUCUUGUCCCUCUCCCGAUCUCUGUCUAAAUGCUCCAAAUAUAUAGGAAGCCUAAAAGUUUCUCCUUCCUUUCUUUCCAAGCAAACCGAAAAAUAUCCUCUUCUUUUCUUUUAAAUCUGGAAAAUCUGAAAAAAUCUCCCAAAAAAAUCGAAAUUCUUCAUUAUAUAGACAAAUUUUAGACAAGUGCGGAUAUAGGAUCAAAGAAUUUUAAUCCUACAGCCUCCAAUUUUCCAAAAAUCGUCUAAAAGAAUUUGGAUUUGUGAUUAAUAGGAAAAAAACAAUGAUGAAGAUUCUAUUGAGUGAAGAUUUUGUUGUGAUUUGGGUGACGUGGGAGGAAUAUGAGAGAGGGGACCAACGAGGGGGGACGAUGAAUGAGAUUGGGGUGGAUUUAUUGUGGGUUUGGGUGUUGCUAAGCGGCAGUAAAGCUUAGAGAUAGCGGGGGUACCGAUUUGGCUAUGGGAAUUAGGUUUAAGGAUUUUUGGGGAAAGUGUUAUGAUGAGCUUUUAUAUGGUGGGGUUGGAGGAUAAGGGUCAUUGGAUUAAAUGUGAUAAAUGGCUACGAUUUAAGGAGGGAGUGGGGCGGGUUGUGGGUCGAUCCGGCAGGUCAAAGGGAAAUUGAGCUCAAGGGAUCUGGGUUGAGUUGGUGGUCUAAGG